RNAcentral lists this ribosomal RNA (532 nucleotides) under uncultured bacterium. RNAcentral describes it as "bacterial SSU rRNA". It matches the Rfam family "Bacterial small subunit ribosomal RNA", at positions 61 to 637 of the family's 1533-position model. The record is from RNAcentral.
GUCGAACGCCCGUAGCAAUACGGGAGUGGCGGACGGGUGAGUAACGCGUGGGAACGUGCCCUAAGGUACGGGAUAACUGCGGGAAACUGCAGCUAAUACCGUAUGUGCCCGCAAGGGGAAAGAUUUAUCGCCUUAGGAGCGGCCCGCGUCGGAUUAGCUAGUUGGUGGGGUAACGGCCUACCAAGGCUUCGAUCCGUAGCUGGUCUGAGAGGACGAUCAGCCACACUGGGACUGAGACACGGCCCAGACUCCUACGGGAGGCAGCAGUGGGGAAUCUUGCGCAAUGGGGGAAACCCUGACGCAGCCAUGCCGCGUGAACGAUGAAGGCCUUAGGGUCGUAAAGUUCUUUUGCCCGUGACGAUGAUGACGGUAACGGGAGAAUAAGCUCCGGCUAACUUCGUGCCAGCAGCCGCGGUAAUACGAAGGGGGCUAGCGUUGUUCGGAAUUACUGGGCGUAAAGCGCGCGCAGGCGGUUUUGUAAGUUGGGGGUGAAAUCCCCGGGCUCAACCCGGGAAUUGCCUUCAAGACUGCA